Molecule: long non-coding RNA, 247 nt
Organism: Octopus sinensis (East Asian common octopus)
Lineage: Eukaryota; Metazoa; Mollusca; Cephalopoda; Octopoda; Octopodidae
Exons: 4
Source: RefSeq, a predicted model, not a curated record
UCAUAUCUCUCUUCGGAUAUGAGAAUUUUUAAAUUCGAACCUCGUUUUGAUCCAAAGAAAGCACAAAGCAGAAGUGCUUCAAUUUUUAUCAAGCUUUACCUUAAUUAUUUGAAAAUCAAGGCCAAAAAUUAUUGCGAUUUAGGAAUUGACACUUUUAGACAUCCAAAAGGAAACCAAACUGGGUCUUUGCAGAAUACUGACGUCAACAUUUUAAUUAAUACAGCAGAACUAUUCAAUAAACAGGCAA